AGUGAACGCUGGCGGUAGGCCUAACACAUGCAAGUCGAACGGCAGCACAGUAAGAGCUUGCUCUUACGGGUGGCGAGUGGCGGACGGGUGAGGAAUACAUCGGAUUCUACUUUUUCGUGGGGGAUAACGUAGGGAAACUUACGCUAAUACCGCAUACGACCUACGGGUGAAAGCAGGGGAGCUUCGGACCUUGCGCGAUUGAAUGAGCCGAUGUCGGAUUAGCUAGUUGGCGGGGUAAAGGCCCACCAAGGCGACGAUCCGUAGCUGGUCUGAGAGGAUGAUCAGCCACACUGGAACUGAGACACGGUCCAGACUCCUACGGGAGGCAGCAGUGGGGAAUAUUGGACAAUGGGCGCAAGCCUGAUCCAGCCAUACCGCGUGGGUGAAGAAGGCCUUCGGGUUGUAAAGCCCUUUUGUUGGGAAAGAAAAGCAGCAGGUUAAUACCCCGCUGUUCUGACGGUACCCAAAGAAUAAGCACCGGCUAACUUCGUG
RNAcentral lists this ribosomal RNA (492 nucleotides) under uncultured bacterium. RNAcentral describes it as "partial 16S ribosomal RNA". It matches the Rfam family "Bacterial small subunit ribosomal RNA", at positions 29 to 507 of the family's 1533-position model. The record is from RNAcentral.